This 70-nucleotide transfer RNA is filed under the name Marmota monax (woodchuck). RNAcentral's name for it is "tRNA.Ala". Lineage: Eukaryota; Metazoa; Chordata; Mammalia; Rodentia; Sciuridae. The record is from RNAcentral.
GGCCUUGUGGCUCAGUGGUAGAGCACUUGCCAAGCAUGUAUGAGGCGCCUGGGAUCUAUUCUCAGCACCA